ACGGGAGGCAGCAGUGGGGAAUAUUGCACAAUGGGCGAAAGCCUGAUGCAGCGACGCCGCGUGAGCGAAGAAGUAUCUCGGUAUGUAAAGCUCUAUCAGCAGGGAAGAAGAAUGACGGUACCUGACUAAGAAGCACCGGCUAAAUACGUGCCAGCAGCCGCGGUAAUACGUAUGGUGCAAGCGUUAUCCGGAUUUACUGGGUGUAAAGGGAGCGCAGGCGGUACGGCAAGUCUGAUGUGAAAGCCCGGGGCCCAACCCCGGUACUGCAUUGGAAACUGUCGGACUAGAGUGUCGGAGGGGUAAGCGGAAUUCCUAGUGUAGCGGUGAAAUGCGUAGAUAUUAGGAGGAACACCGGUGGCGAAGGCGGCUUACUGGACGAUAACUGACGCUGAGGCUCGAAAGCGUGGGGAGCAAACAGGAUUAGAUACCCUGGUA
This 435-nucleotide ribosomal RNA is filed under the name uncultured Roseburia sp. RNAcentral's name for it is "bacterial SSU rRNA". It matches the Rfam family "Bacterial small subunit ribosomal RNA", at positions 341 to 792 of the family's 1533-position model. Lineage: Bacteria; Bacillati; Bacillota; Clostridia; Lachnospirales; Lachnospiraceae. The record is from RNAcentral.